Molecule: long non-coding RNA, 566 nt
Filed under: Apteryx owenii (little spotted kiwi)
Lineage: Eukaryota; Metazoa; Chordata; Aves; Apterygiformes; Apterygidae
Description: lncRNA (ENSAOWG00000007565.1)
Source: RNAcentral
GCCGGCUCUUCCCGCCAGGACGGGUCCCGGGGACGCGCCCAGCUCCUGCCCCAUGAGGGCCGCCUGCGCCGUGAGUCCGCGUGUCGCGACGGACGGGGCCCUGCGUCGUGACAGAUGGGUCCCCGGGGCUGAGUAUCGCGACGGACGGGGCCUUGUGUUGCGAUAGAUGGGGCCCCGGGGCUGGAUAUCGUGACGAAUGGGGCCUUGCAUUGCAAUGGAUGGGGCCCCAGGGCUGGAUAUCGCGACAGACAGGGCCCCGGGGCUGGAUAUCACGACAGACAGGGUCUCAGGACCAGGUAUUGCGAUGGACGGGGCCCUGCGUCGCGACGGACAGGGCCCUGGGGCUGGAUAUCACGACAGACGACGCCCUGCGGCUGGGCGUCACAAUAGACAGGGCCCCGGGGCCGAGUAUCGUGACAGAUGGGACCCUGCGGCGGCAUGUUGCGACGGGCAGGGAUCACAGUCCUACAGCCAUAUGUCGCGACGGAUGGGGCCCCAGAGCCACAUGUCGUGACAGACAGAUCAUAGUGCCAUGGUCGGGUAUCAUGACGGGCCAGGAAUUGUGA